RNAcentral lists this long non-coding RNA (666 nucleotides) under Homo sapiens (human). RNAcentral's name for it is "HSALNT0348846". The record is from RNAcentral. Lineage: Eukaryota; Metazoa; Chordata; Mammalia; Primates; Hominidae.
CUGGCUUCAUCACGACAGGAUGAGUGCAAGGAGAAAGAGGUUGUCGGGGGAAGGAGAGGGCCUAGAGAGUUCACUCUGGGGCCAGAUGGAUUGCAGCUGCUGGCUGAGCCCCCCAGUAAGCAGUGAGAUACACAGACCUGGAGGUCAGCCUAGCUCCUUCCUGAGGGAAGAUGGAGUGGAGUGGCGCAGUGAGAGAAGGGCAGGCCAACAGGGACAGGGGAGCCAGGAAGAUAAUAGAUUUGAAAUGAAGAAAGGACCAUUCGUUGCCAAAGGAUGGAGGAGGGAGACUGAAAGUCCUCAAGAAGCAGCCAAGAAUUUUGGUGCCAAAAAAUAAGGACUUUUAGAUGAAGCAAAGAAAUCUAUAAGCUGACCCACAAUGACAAUCCCUAAAUGCUAGCAGGGAUCUGGGUUCGAUUCCAUCAAUGAGAGGUACUUCUGCAAGAUCUGGAAGAAGGAAGAGAAGAGCAGACACAAGACUGUGUAGUGGCUUCCAGGAAUUAGCAUGAAAGUCACCCGUUUUGGUCUACAGACACUUGUGAUCAUCACUGCAGUCUCCUGCAGUUUCUGUAACUUCCUGACUCUCUAAAAGCUAGCAGCCAUCCUGAGAGGUAAGACUAGUUUGCCUUUACUUUUCUUCCUCCAACACUCUCAGUAGUUUUGUAACCA